GUGUGUGUGUGUGUGAAUGGGUGAAUGAGAACCAGUGUAAAGCGCUUUAGAACCAUAGGGGUUAAGAAAGUGCAGACCAUUUCCCAUGCUUUUCUGUGAUAUAAUGGAUAUUCUGAUAUCCUUGGGUUAAAAAAAAAAAAAUUACAAAUUGUUAAAAGUAUUUAAAAUUAGAAGUGAAUAGAAGUAGUUAGAAGUUAGUAGUAGUUAGAAGUAGAAGUGGUAGAAGUGAAUAGAAGUAGAAGUAGUUAGAAGUAGAAGUGAAUAGCAGUAGUUAGAAUUAGAAGUAGUUAGAAGUGAAUAGAAGUAGGUAGAAGGGAACAGAAGUAGUUAGAAGUAGAAGUGAGUAGAAGUGAAUAGAAGUAGGUAGAAGGGAAUAGAAGUGGUUAGAAGUAGGUAGAAGUAGUUAGAAGUAGUAGUGAAUAGAAGUAAGAAGAAAUCGGUAGAAGUAGUCAGAAGUAGAAGUGGAUAGAAGUCGAAGUAGUUAGAAGUGAGUAGAAGUAGUUAGAUGUGGUUAAAAGUGAAUAGAAGUGAGUAGAAGUAGUUAGAUGUGGUUCGAAUUGAAUAGAAGCAGUUAGAAGUAGAAGUGAAUAAAAGUAAAUAGAAGUAGGUAGAUGUGAAUAGAACUGGUUAGAAGUAGAAGUGAAUAGAAGUAGUUAGAAAGUAGGAAUAGUUAGAAGUAAGUAGAAGUGAAUAGAAGUAGAAGUGAAUAGAAGUAGUUAGAAGUAAAUAGAAGUAGAAGUAGUUAGUAGAAGUGAGUAGAAGUGAAUAGAAGUAGAAGUGAAUAGAAGUAGAAGUGAGUAGAAGUGAGUAGAAGUAGUUAGUAGAAGUGAAUAGAAGUAGAAGUGAUGAGUAGAAGUAGAAGUGAAUAGAAGUAGAAGUGAGUAGAAUGAGUAGAAGUGAAUAGAAGUAGAAGUGAGUAGAAGUAGAAGUAGUUAGAAGAAGUGAUUAGAUGGCAAGAUGUUGGACCUAAUGAUUAAAAUAAUUUGCUUGUAUGUGUGUUUUAGUGGCGCUCUGCUGCACUGUUGUACCGGCAGUAAUGCACAGACCUGUGUUCGUCAGGAGGCGUAUGGUAGAAAUACCUUCCAGAAUCAUGAUAUAUUUCAUAUCUCUCGCCCUCACACCUGGAAGCGAGUUGCACUUGUAUCCUCACAUGUAGAUAAUCCCUAAAUGUCCUGGCGCAGAGCUUCAGAACCUCCUCCUGGACUCUGUCAUGGUCAGAUUGACAGCUUUGUGCUGGGCCUGUCUCUGUGAUGAAGACGGAGACUGCUCGCUCCUCUGAGCGUGUUCCUGGAGCUCGGCGGUUCACGCCGGAGUGCUUUAGUUCUCUCGUUAAACCCCAGACGUCGCCUGAGCGGCGUAAACGUCAGUCCCCUGCCCCGCGUGACCCUGUAAGGCGCACGAGCGCGCCGAGCCGAGAUGUGGUGGAAGAGCCGCUGUAUUCUUUACUAGCUCUGGAACCGGAGCCUUGGCUUCUCGCGGCAGGUUAUACGGACACGACGCAGAGUCUCGGAGAGACUUUAUUGUACUUUUGUGUCCCGGAGCGCAUGCCUUGGUCUACUUCCUCUGACUAAAAAAAAUUUUUUUUUUUAAAUAAACGUGAUAUUUAAAAAUAUAUAUAUAUUUUGGAUGAUGC
This is a long non-coding RNA of Ictalurus punctatus (channel catfish), 1633 nucleotides long. Lineage: Eukaryota; Metazoa; Chordata; Actinopteri; Siluriformes; Ictaluridae. The record is from Ensembl.